RNAcentral lists this transfer RNA (87 nucleotides) under Phycisphaerae bacterium. RNAcentral's name for it is "tRNA-Ser". It matches the Rfam family "tRNA". Rfam says of the family: Transfer RNA (tRNA) molecules are approximately 80 nucleotides in length. Lineage: Bacteria; Pseudomonadati; Planctomycetota; Phycisphaerae. The record is from RNAcentral.
GGAGGCGUGGCCGAGUGGCUGAAGGCGACGGUCUUGAAAACCGUUAGGCGCGCAAGCGUCUCGGGGGUUCGAAUCCCUCCGCCUCCG